GGAGUCUAGCAUGUGCGCGAGUCAUUGGGACUAGCGAAACCUAAAGGCGAAAUGAAAGUGAAGGCGCGCCACGCGCGCCGAGGGAGGAUGGGCCGCGCCACGGCGCGGCUCCGCACUCCCGGGGCGUUUCGUUCUCAUCGCGAGAUGAGGCGCACCCAGAGCGUACACGCUGGGACCCGAAAGAUGGUGAACUAUGCCUGGUCAGGACGAAGUCAGGGGAAACCCUGAUGGAGGUCCGUAGCGAUUCUGACGUGCAAAUCGAUCGUCGGAACUGGGUAUAGGGGCGAAAGACUAAUCGAACCAUCUAGUAGCUGGUUCCCUCCGAAGUUUCCCUCAGGAUAGCUGGCGCUCGCUUUGCGAGUCUCAUCCGGUAAAGCGAAUGAUUAGAGGCAUUGGGGUCGAAACGGCCUCAACCUAUUCUCAAACUUUAAAUGGGUGAGAUCUCCGGCUUGCUUAAAUCUUGAAGCCGCGAGAAUCUUACAGAGGAUCAGAGUGCCAAGUGGGCCAUUUUUGGUAAGCAGAACUGGCGCUGUGGGAUGAACCAAACGCAGAGUUAAAGCGCCUAAAUCGACGCUUAUGGGAUACCAUGAAAGGCGUUGGUAACUUAAGACAGCAGGACGGUGGCCAUGGAA
RNAcentral lists this ribosomal RNA (632 nucleotides) under Ptilodactylidae sp. UPOL RK0773. RNAcentral describes it as "eukaryotic LSU rRNA". It matches the Rfam family "Eukaryotic large subunit ribosomal RNA", at positions 670 to 1259 of the family's 3401-position model. The record is from RNAcentral. Lineage: Eukaryota; Metazoa; Arthropoda; Insecta; Coleoptera; Ptilodactylidae.